Molecule: non-coding RNA, 73 nt
Organism: Stegodyphus mimosarum
Lineage: Eukaryota; Metazoa; Arthropoda; Arachnida; Araneae; Eresidae
Source: Rfam
GCCUUCGUGGUGUAGUGGUCAGCACGCUAGGUGCGUAUUCCAGAGGUCCGUGGUUCGAGUCCCGGUGGAAGUG